RNAcentral lists this ribosomal RNA (501 nucleotides) under uncultured bacterium. RNAcentral describes it as "partial 16S ribosomal RNA". It matches the Rfam family "Bacterial small subunit ribosomal RNA", at positions 29 to 507 of the family's 1533-position model. The record is from RNAcentral.
ACGAACGCUGGCGGCGUGCCUAAUACAUGCAAGUCGAACGAACCGCGACUAGGUGCUUGCACUUGGUCAAGGUGAGUGGCGAACGGGUGAGUAACACGUGGGUAACCUACCUCAUAGUGGGGGAUAACAGUCGGAAACGACUGCUAAUACCGCAUAGGACAUAGGAUCACAUGAUUCUGUGAGGAAAGGUGGCGCAAGCUAUCGCUAAGAGAUGGACCCGCGGUGCAUUAGCUAGUCGGUAGGGUAAAGGCCUACCAAGGCGAUGAUGCAUAGCCGACCUGAGAGGGUGAUCGGCCACAUUGGGACUGAGACACGGCCCAAACUCCUACGGGAGGCAGCAGUAGGGAAUCUUCCGCAAUGGACGCAAGUCUGACGGAGCAACGCCGCGUGAGUGAAGAAGGUCUUCGGAUCGUAAAGCUCUGUUGUUAGAGAAGAACAGCGCAUAGAGUAACUGUUAUGCGUGUGACGGUAUCUAACCAGAAAGCCACGGCUAACUACGUG